GAACGCUGGCGGCGUGCUUAAUACAUGCAAGUUGAGCGGAGCUAAUAGUGAGUUACUUAUUAUUAGUCGAGCAGCGGACGGGUGAGUAACGCGUGGGCAAUCUGCCCUCUAGUUUGGGAUAACAGUUCGAAAGGACUGCUAACACCGAAUAAUCUUAAAUUUGGGCAUCUAAAUUUAAGGAAAGUUAACGCUAGAGGAUGAGCCCGCGUCCCAUUAGCUAGUUGGUGAGGUAACGGCCCACCAAGGCAACGAUGGGUAGCCGACCUGAGAGGGUGACCGGCCACACUGGGACUGAGACACGGCCCAGACUCCUACGGGAGGCAGCAGUAGGGAAUUUUCCGCAAUGGACGAAAGUCUGACGGAGCAACGCCGCGUGAGGGAUGAAGGUUUUCGGAUCGUAAACCUCUGUCCUUGGGGAAGAUAAUGACGGUACCCAAGGAGGAAGCCACGGCUAACUACGUGCCAGCCGCGGC
RNAcentral lists this ribosomal RNA (473 nucleotides) under uncultured bacterium. Its description in RNAcentral is "bacterial SSU rRNA". It matches the Rfam family "Bacterial small subunit ribosomal RNA", at positions 31 to 518 of the family's 1533-position model. The record is from RNAcentral.